AAGUGGCUUUUCCACCCAUGGUAUUGUGGUGGUCAUAAUAGCACACCUCACAAUUAUUAUGGCCAGAUCUACAAGCACUGAGCGUUGUGUUUUUUAGCCCCCUCUGUUUCUCCUGGGCAUCAAUCUAUGCGCAACAAGCUCUUCAGUGCUUGAUGACAAAUAAAGGUUGCAUCUUAGAUAUUUGCUUGAUUUGAAUGAGCCAUUUUGCUGUCAGCUAAACUGUUAAAAGUCAGAUGUAAGAUUAUGUUUCUUGGCACAUGAGUUAUUUUUCAGUCAACGCGUGGCGAGUCCACUUCGAACUGAUAUAUGCACUUUUUAUUUGAAACUGAACCACCAUGGUUUAAUUUUAUUUUCAUUUGGACAAGUUACCCCAAGUAUCAUCAGUUCAUGAUGACUGGUUUGGUGUGAUGAAUUGAUCCUGGUGCUGAUUUAAGAGUUUUUUAUGACGCUGUCUUGUAAGGGAGUAAGGUCUGGUAUCUAUAUGGCUGUUAUUUUAGCUCUUACAGAUUGCCAUAUAUGACAUGCUAAUUGUUUUUAGCUCUUGAUAUAGUUAAACUUUUUUUUUUGAAACGGAGGCAAAAGAUUUGCCUCAUCCAUUAAAUGGGAGGAGAAUAGAGUUAAACUUUGGAUGCACCAGUGCCUGAUGCAUAUGUUUGUUUACUUGGUUUGAACUCUGAAUGAUAUGUUGUUAUCCUGCACGCAUGCCUGAUGAGUUGGUGCUGCUGGUAUUUUGAGGAGGCAAGUUGUGGUUUUACUCCUGGCCCUGAGAAGGGUGAACUAGGCCAUAGCGAGGGCGCCUUCAGGAACAUCGAGUCAGGGUGCCUCACUUUCUAUUUCAGUCUGCGAGAUCUCGACACACCCUGAACAAUGAGCACAUGUUACCAGCCACAUUCCACACAGGAUGUGUUCUUUUCAAAACAAAGAUACCCUGAUACAUGAUUAUUCCUCUUUCAAGUUCUUGAUCCUUGAAGAUACUUGCUAGGUUUCUAGCUGAUUUUUUGGUAGUAUAAGGCUAUAAGCUCGAUGUAUAUGGCCUGAAUAUGAUCUGAUUCAGAGUACAUUGUGUUCUGAAGCUUUUUACUGUAUGGUUCUCUCUUGAAAGAAUUCAAGCCAUUGUUCAAUGGGAGAGAAUAGUUGUAAUCCUCAAAUAACUGUCGUACCUAUUCAUCAGCUGACACAAUUGCCACCGAGAUCAUUAUUUUCCUUUUUUUUUCAGGUUUUCAACAUCACGAAUUUCAUACUUAUGGAGUGGAGCUACCAAAAUAUCUAUUGAGGAAAUAUGUCGAAGCACAGAAUAUAUUCCAUAUGCAGUGGACUAA
Long non-coding RNA from Triticum dicoccoides, 1319 nucleotides. RefSeq lists it as uncharacterized. The transcript has 3 exons. The record is from RefSeq and is a predicted model, not a curated record. NCBI's taxonomy places the organism in Eukaryota, Viridiplantae, Streptophyta, Magnoliopsida, Poales, Poaceae.